GAUGAACGCUGGCGGCGUGCCUAAUACAUGCAAGUCGAGCGAACGGACGAGAAGCUUGCUUCUCUGAUGUUAGCGGCGGACGGGUGAGUAACACGUGGAUAACCUACCUAUAAGACUGGGAUAACUUCGGGAAACCGUAGCUAAUACCGGAUAAUAUUUUGAACCGCAUGGUUCAAAAGUGAAAGACGGUCUUGCUGUCACUUAUAGAUGGAUCCGCGCUGCAUUAGCUAGUUGGUAAGGUAACGGCUUACCAAGGCAACGAUGCAUAGCCGACCUGAGAGGGUGAUCGGCCACACUGGAACUGAGACACGGUCCAGACUCCUACGGGAGGCAGCAGUAGGGAAUCUUCCGCAAUGGGCGAAAGCCUGACGGAGCAACGCCGCGGGAGUGAUGAAGGUCUUCGGAUCGUAAAACUCUGUUAUUAGGGAAGAACAUAUGUGUAAGUAACUGUGCACAUCUUGACGGUACCUAAGCAGAAAGCCACGGCUAACUACGU
This 496-nucleotide ribosomal RNA is filed under the name uncultured bacterium. RNAcentral describes it as "partial 16S ribosomal RNA". It matches the Rfam family "Bacterial small subunit ribosomal RNA", at positions 28 to 506 of the family's 1533-position model. The record is from RNAcentral.